GAUGAACGCUGGCGGCGUGCCUAAUACAUGCGAGUCGAGCGAACAGAUGAGGAGCUUGCUCCUCUGACGUUAGCGGCGGACGGGUGAGUAACACGUGGAUAACCUACCUAUAAGACUGGGAUAACUUCGGGAAACCGGAGCUAAUACCGGAUAAUAUAUUGAACCGCAUGGUUCAAUAGUGAAAGACGGUUUUGCUGUCACUUAUAGAUGGAUCCGCGCCGCAUUAGCUAGUUGGUAAGGUAACGGCUUACCAAGGCAACGAUGCGUAGCCGACCUGAGGGGGUGAUCGGCCACACUGGAACUGAGACACGGUCCAGACUCCUACGGGAGGCAGCAGUAGGGAAUCUUCCGCAAUGGGCGAAAGCCUGACGGAGCAACGCCGCGUGAGUGAUGAAGGUCUUCGGAUCGUAAAACUCUGUUAUUAGGGAAGAACAAAUGUGUAAGUAACUAUGCACGUCUUGACGGUACCUAAUCAGAAAGCCACGGCUAACUACGUG
This 497-nucleotide ribosomal RNA is filed under the name uncultured bacterium. RNAcentral's name for it is "partial 16S ribosomal RNA". It matches the Rfam family "Bacterial small subunit ribosomal RNA", at positions 28 to 507 of the family's 1533-position model. The record is from RNAcentral.